RNAcentral lists this ribosomal RNA (460 nucleotides) under uncultured bacterium. RNAcentral's name for it is "partial 16S ribosomal RNA". It matches the Rfam family "Bacterial small subunit ribosomal RNA", at positions 338 to 795 of the family's 1533-position model. The record is from RNAcentral.
CCUACGGGGGGCAGCAGUGAGGAAUAUUGGUCAAUGGACGAGAGUCUGAACCAGCCAAGUAGCGUGAAGGAUGACUGCCCUAUGGGUUGUAAACUUCUUUUAUAUGGGAAUAAAAUGUUCCACGUGUGGGAUUUUGUAUGUACCAUAUGAAUAAGGAUCGGCUAACUCCGGUCCAGCAGCCGCGGUAAUACGGAGGAUCCGAGCGUUAUCCGGAUUUAUUGGGGUUAAAGGGAGCGUAGGUGGAUUGUUAAGUCAGUUGUGAAAGUUUGCGGCUCAACCGUAACAUUGCAGUUGAAACUGGCAGUCUUGAGUACAGUAGAGGUGGGCGGAAUUCGUGGUGUAGCGGUGAAAUGCUUAGAUAUCACGAAGAACUCCGAUUGCGAAGGCAGUUCACUGGACUGCAACUGACACUGAGGCUCGAAAGUGUGGGUAUCAAACAGGAUUAGAUACCCCGGUAGUC